CCUACGGGUGGGCAGCAGUGAGGAAUAUUGGUCAAUGGACGCAAGUCUGAACCACCCAUGCCGCGUGCAGGAAGACGGCUCUAUGAGUUGUAAACUGCUUUUGUACGAGGGUAAAUCCCGAUACGUGUAUCGGGUUGAAAGUAUCGUACGAAUAAGGAUCGGCUAACUCCGUGCCAGCAGCCGCGGUAUUACGGAGGAUUCAAGCGUUAUCCGGAUUUAUUGGGUUAAAAGGGUGCGUAGGCGGUUCGAUAAGUCAGCGGGAAAAUUGCGGGGCUCAACCCCGUAGAGCCGUUGAAACUGGCAGACUUGAGUUGGCGAGAAGUACGCGGAAUGCGCGGUGUAGCGGUGAAAUGCAUAGAUAUCGCGAAGAACUCCGAUUGCGAAGGCAGCGUACCGGCGCCAGACUGACGCUGAGGCACGAAAGCGUGGGGAUCGAACAGGAUUAGAUACCCCUGUAGUC
This 460-nucleotide ribosomal RNA is filed under the name uncultured bacterium. RNAcentral's name for it is "partial 16S ribosomal RNA". It matches the Rfam family "Bacterial small subunit ribosomal RNA", at positions 338 to 795 of the family's 1533-position model. The record is from RNAcentral.